This 1441-nucleotide long non-coding RNA is filed under the name Falco tinnunculus (common kestrel). RNAcentral describes it as "lncRNA (ENSFTIG00000007061.1)". The record is from RNAcentral. Lineage: Eukaryota; Metazoa; Chordata; Aves; Falconiformes; Falconidae.
CUGCACUAUCACUUACACCUGCCCCGACCAGAACGAACUGGGGUAUUUUCCGAGGGCAGCGAUGUCUCCCUCCCACCAGCUCUGUGUCAGCAGGACGAGCAGCAACAUCGCGGUAAGAACUCUCAGUGAAACCUGGGAGACUGAAAUCACUGCAUAUGCCUCCCUACAUAAGGGAAAACAGUAUUAUCAACAAGAUGAAGAGACUCCCGUGUUAGCAGAUAGCACCUCAGGCCAAUGAGAGAGGAAAUGCCCAACAGAAAGGACUGGUCAAAGGUGAAAUGAGUCCAGGAAAGAGAAGAGGAUCAACUAAGACUACAAAAAUUAUGAGUGGAAAUAAAGCAAAUUAAGGGAAAAAGGUCCAUACAAAGGAAUAGAAGAAAAAAGUAAAGAGAAAAAACACCAAACAAACCAUGAAAAAGAAAAGCCAACACUGAAGCUAAAACAGAUCAUGAGAGUCAAUUUAAACCCCCAAAAGCUCACUCACAUGUGCUAACAUGACUCUUCUGGGAACAGCACAGAACUUGUGUAAAAAAAAUAUUUUACAGUAUAGAGAUCAUAAGAUGACAGCAGGUCGGUGACAAAACCAUGAUGACAAUUUGCACACAGGGUGACAAGUCCCAGAAAACCAACUGAGAUAAUCCCCGUUUAUUUAGAGAAACAAGGCUUAUGAUUCACUAUAUGAAAUGAAGAAGAAAUGGGCCAGAGCUCGACAUAAAGUCUUAUAUCUACAAGCACUAUGCCAUCAAAUGCAAAAGAAGACCUGAAGAAAGAAGAUGGAGAAUGAAUUAUACAUAAGCAUUUCUGCAACAUUAUAAGCAUUUUAAAAAAGUAAGUAAGGAAUGCUUAUGCGAGUAACUUCUUUCUGUGUUGCUAGAUCUACUUAGUAGCCUAGUGUAACCAAAACCUGACCUAUUGCCCCUUGGUGUCCCCAGGGUACAGGCAGGGCCUGGAGACUCGCUCUUAGGAGGAGACAUGCCACACCAUGUAAGAGAAAAUGCAAACGUGAGAUUGCUGGGAAGGAUCCCUGCAACACUCUCCAAUCUCUCUUCCCCGUAGACAGUAUCCUGGCAAUGUAUUCCUGAAAUCUUCACAAGGCAGGAUUCUGGAACACACAUAUAGAUAGACAGAUAUACACACACACUCCUUUACAUAUAUACAGCAGGAAUAUACAUAUAUUUACAUACAUUGUAAACUACUGCCAUUACUGUACAAAACCAUAGAGCACAGAGGUACCCAGGUGGCAGAGCCCUUGAUGAAUUUGCAGUCAGUGGAAGGUCUGUAGAAAGAGCCCCUCACAGUACAGAGAUGGAAGAGGAAGGUUUGUAGGAACUAUGUGUAUCCAGACAAGUAUGUCAUUUCAGGUAUUUAGGUUUAGAGUUAGGCUUUGCAACUUUACCAUUUUCCCACUUAGAAAAAAAAUCUUUUGUUUGCAUCUGUGCUC